RNAcentral lists this unclassified non-coding RNA (329 nucleotides) under soil metagenome. RNAcentral describes it as "partial contains 5.8S ribosomal RNA, internal transcribed spacer 2, and large subunit ribosomal RNA". The stretch from base 1 to 120 matches the Rfam family "5.8S ribosomal RNA", at positions 35 to 154 of the family's 154-position model. The record is from RNAcentral.
GAUGAAGAACGUAGCGAAAUGCGAUAAGUAAUGUGAAUUGCAGAAUUCAGUGAAUCAUCGAAUCUUUGAACGCACAUUGCGCCCCCUGGUAUUCCGGGGGGCAUGCCUGUUCGAGCGUCAUUACAACCCUCAAGCUCUGCUUGGUGUUGGGCCCCGCCGCCCCGGCGGGCCCUAAAAUCAGUGGCGGUGCCGUCCGGCUCCGAGCGUAGUAAUUCUUCUCGCUCUGGAGGUCCGGGUGUGUGCUCGCCAGCACCCCCCAAUUUUUUUCAGGUUGACCUCGGAUCAGGUAGGGAUACCCGCUGAACUUAAGCAUAUCAAUAAGCGGAGGA